Beta vulgaris subsp. vulgaris (sugar beet) is the source of this 119-nucleotide non-coding RNA. NCBI's taxonomy places the organism in Eukaryota, Viridiplantae, Streptophyta, Magnoliopsida, Caryophyllales, Amaranthaceae. The record is from Rfam.
GGCUGCGACCAUACCAGCACUAAUCCACUGUAUCCUAUAAGAACUCCGCAGUUAAGCGUGCUUGGGUGAGAGUAGUACUAGGAUGAGUGACCUAUUAGGAAGUCCUCGUGUUGCACCGC